Molecule: small RNA, 134 nt
Filed under: Salmonella enterica subsp. enterica serovar Rubislaw
Lineage: Bacteria; Pseudomonadati; Pseudomonadota; Gammaproteobacteria; Enterobacterales; Enterobacteriaceae
Also listed under: 15 other names
Description: RtT sRNA
Rfam family: RtT RNA
About the family: This family represents a bacterial cis-regulatory element known as RtT RNA. The exact function of RtT is unknown although it is thought that it may be involved in changing the cellular response in relation to amino acid starvation.
Source: RNAcentral
UGCAUCUGAAGCCUGACGAGGAUGAGAACCUCCGGGGGCAAGAGGUUCGACCCGAGCGAAGCGAGAGAACGUUGCGUCAGCAACGGCCCGCAGGGCGAGCCACGCAGUGGCGAGUCAUCCUCUAUCACCGACCA